This 1340-nucleotide unclassified non-coding RNA is filed under the name Hevea brasiliensis (rubber tree). Lineage: Eukaryota; Viridiplantae; Streptophyta; Magnoliopsida; Malpighiales; Euphorbiaceae. The record is from RNAcentral.
GAAAAUUCAUCUAAUAAAUUGCAGUUCACCGGUUGACGAGGAGAUGGAAACUCACAUGUCUCAUCAUCAUCAGUAUGAAAGACGACCCAUAUACAAGUCCAAAGCUCCUGCUUCCAAAUGGUUUAAGGAAUGGGUCCCACAAGAUGUUGUAGCAACUGGUGGGAAGUGCUACGUCUUAAAGUGGGUGAAUGAGGCCACAUUAAAAGCUCUGAGGGAGAAGCCAAAAGAGGCAGGAGUACCUGUGUCAGAACCAGAGCCAACUACUGAAGUUCUUUUUCUUUGUAGCUAUGAAGGUUGUGGAAAGACAUUUAUUGAUGCUGGGGCCUUGAGGAAGCAUUCUCACAUCCACGGGGAGAGGCAGUAUGUAUGCCACUAUGAGGGUUGUGGAAAGAAAUUCUUGGAUAGUUCCAAGCUAAAACGACACUUUCUUAUUCACACUGGAGAAAGAGACUAUGUGUGUCCACAUGAAGGCUGUGGUAAGGCAUUCUCACUGGAUUUUAACUUAAGAUCACACAUGAAAACACACUCCCAGGAGAACUAUCAUAUUUGCCCGUAUCCAGAAUGUGGAAAGCGAUAUGCACAUGAGUACAAGCUUAAAAAUCAUAUUUCAUCUACUCACCAGAAGAACAACACACCAGAUGCACAUGCACAUCCACAUCCACAUGCUCAUGCACCAAAGUAUACCCCGCCUGUGGAGAAGCCAGUGAAGACUCCGAAAUCUUCUUCAGCAGCUUAUGGCUCAUCAUCAUCUGACCGUCCUUACAGCUGUCCAUACGAAGGUUGUGACAAAUCUUACAUCCAUGAGUACAAGCUGAAUCUUCAUUUGAGGAACAUGCACCCUGGUCAUUUCCCAGAGGAGAACGCGAGAAAUGUUCAAUCCACUGCUGACAAUGAGAUAGAUGAAGGCAGUGAUCAGGACGCAUAUGCUGCAAGACGUGGAAACGGAAGAAGUCAGAAACAGAGCAGACCAAAACCAAGCUUAAAGCAGCCGCCUUUGAAAGUUGCACGCAAAAGCUCAUCUAGUGCUGCUCAAGCCAAUCUAAUUAUAUCGAAGAAACCUUGGCCGGUUAAAGAAGAGAACUUCAAUGAAGAAGAUAGUGAAGAAACAGAGGAGGAGCGGGAUGAUGUUGGCGAUGGAUGGAGGUAUGGUGAAAACGAUGACGACGAUGAAGAGACUGAAGAAGAUGACUAGGCUUAUAUGUCAUACAUACUCAUAGGUAGUUAAGUAGUACACUAUGUUUUGGGAUAUAAAUGGUUGUCAUUGUCUAGAAAAUGGGAUUGGUCCUUGCUUGUUAAUGCCUUUUUGUGUUUUAUGAAAAGCAUGAGGCUUUAGCUGUUUC